AACAGAACUCUAAUUCAGCUGGUUUAAAUAAAACCAUUUGCCUACAAAGACUUAAAAGGUCUUUGAAAUGCAUUGCAAUCAACAGAAAGUGUCCUCCAACAGCAGCUGCACAAGCGGACAAAUGACAAAGGAAAGACAAGACAACUAAAUAUAAAGAACUUCUCACUAUUACUGAGCAAAUUCAUAUGAGGGCAAUAGUACAGAUCUAUUUUUUUAAAAAAUCAUUAUUUAUAAAAGCAACAAUUCUUCACUAGAGACUAUUCAUACCUUAAGAACUCGGACAAUGUAAUUGGUUCUCUCACCCAGAGUAAUGCCAUGUAACAAAACGAAAGUGUCAUUGGCAUCGUCAUCCUCAGUUUCUCCUUUUGGUUCUUCAUUAAAUACAAGCUGCCAUCUACUGAUCCAGAGUA
Molecule: long non-coding RNA, 410 nt
Organism: Vidua chalybeata
Lineage: Eukaryota; Metazoa; Chordata; Aves; Passeriformes; Viduidae
Exons: 2
Source: RefSeq, a predicted model, not a curated record